Molecule: ribosomal RNA, 490 nt
Filed under: uncultured bacterium
Lineage: Bacteria
Description: partial 16S ribosomal RNA
Rfam family: Bacterial small subunit ribosomal RNA
Source: RNAcentral
GAUGAACGCUAGCUACAGGCUUAACACAUGCAAGUCGCGGGGCAGCAUGGGGGUUGCUUGCCAUCCCCGAUGGCGACCGGCGCACGGGUGAGUAACGCGUAUCCAACCUGCCCUUCACCACGGGAUAACCCGGCGAAAGUCGGACUAAUACCGUAUGUUGUCCAUUGACGGCAUCCGAUUUGGACGAAAGGCUUGGCGGUGAGGGAUGGGGAUGCGUCCGAUUAGCCAGACGGCGGGGUAACGGCCCACCGUGGCUACGAUCGGUAGGGGUUCUGAGAGGAAGGUCCCCCACACUGGAACUGAGACACGGUCCAGACUCCUACGGGAGGCAGCAGUGAGGAAUAUUGGUCAAUGGGCGUAAGCCUGAACCAGCCAAGUAGCGUGCAGGAUGACGGCCCUAUGGGUUGUAAACUGCUUUUAUGCGGGGAUAAAGUGGCCCACGGGUGGGCUUUUGCAGGUACCGCAUGAAUAAGAACCGGCUAAUUCCGUG